CCCAUCCACUCCUUCAAAAUACAGGAGAUAUACCGAAACCCCCAUCCCUUCCUUUCUCCACUCCUCUCCUUCACCCCAAACCCUAAAUCUACAAAAACCCCUUCAACCAGCCGAGCCCUAGAUCUGUAGAAACCCCUUCAACCAACUGAUCCCUAGAUCUGCAGAAAGCCCUUCGACCAACCUAAAUGCGCUCCCAAAACUUGCUCUCUCAAAUGCAUUUCUAGGGUCAGUCUCUCUCUCUCUCUCUCUCUCUCUCUCUCUCUCUCUCCCCUUCAUUAUUGCUGCAUCUGUCUUGUUCUUCUUCCUUCUUCAUUGCCUGGCCUGUCUCCCUUCCUCACUCAUCUUUUCUUCUUUUGCAGGGAGGCUACUUCCCCAACGCAAUCCGAUAUUAUCAGAGAUCCCUCUCUGAGGAUAGAUGUCCUGUUAGAACUUGUGAUUGAGAACCACUUUUCCCCAAAUGAUGGUACUCUUGAGGUAUGUUAUUGCACCUUAAUUUCUUUCUUAAUAAGAUAAUAUAUCAAAUUCUCCUUUUAUUUUAAUUUAUCAUUUUCUACACAUCAACAGGCAUAAUAUAUGUAGGAACUAGUGUCUGAAAAUACAAUUAUUACUU
Magnolia sinica is the source of this 610-nucleotide RNA transcript. RefSeq lists it as uncharacterized. The record is from RefSeq and is a predicted model, not a curated record. NCBI's taxonomy places the organism in Eukaryota, Viridiplantae, Streptophyta, Magnoliopsida, Magnoliales, Magnoliaceae. The transcript is spliced from 2 exons.